CCCUUAGAUGUUCUGGGCUGCACGCGCGCUACACUGACAUACUCAGCAAGCUUCCUUGCCUGAAAGGGUUGGGUAAUCUUGUUAGUGUAUGUCGUGAUGGGGAUAGAAUAUUGUAAUUAUUGCUCUUUAACGAGGAAUUCCUAGUAAGCGCAAGUCAUCAGCUUGCGUUGAUUACGUCCCUGCCCUUUGUACACACCGCCCGUCGCUCCUACCGAUUGGGUGAUCCGGUGAAUGAUUCGGACUCUGGCUAUGCUAGCUACUAGCUACGUCAGGGAAAGUUUUGUGAACCUUAUCACUUGGAGGAAGGAGAAGUCGUAACA
RNAcentral lists this ribosomal RNA (320 nucleotides) under uncultured eukaryote. Its description in RNAcentral is "partial 18S ribosomal RNA". It matches the Rfam family "Eukaryotic small subunit ribosomal RNA", at positions 1470 to 1796 of the family's 1831-position model. The record is from RNAcentral.